UAAUAACUCCAUGGCAGACAUCCACACGACCUUCAGAAACACUUUAUAGACACCAAAGCAUCAAACAACUGGUUAGUCGGGGAUCUUUUUACAGAAACAGAAAGCUGUAUAAUAGUGAUACAAGGUAAUAAAAAACUACAUGACAAACUAUAGAAAAUAUAUACUAAAGGACAGCACAUUGACAAAUGACACAUGUAGGAAAUGCCACAUAGCACCCGAAACAAUUCACCACAUUACAUCGGAUUGCAAGCUGCUUGCACGAACAGGUUACCUGCAUAGACACAACCAAGUAGCAAACAUCAUACACCAAAAGCUUGCAACCAAACAAAUUAAUAAACACACUCGUAC
This 348-nucleotide long non-coding RNA is filed under the name Androctonus crassicauda. The record is from RNAcentral. Lineage: Eukaryota; Metazoa; Arthropoda; Arachnida; Scorpiones; Buthidae.